GCAUAUCAAUAAGCGGAGGAAAAGAAACUAACAAGGAUUCCCCUAGUAACUGCGAGUGAAGCGGGAAAAGCUCAAAUUUAAAAUCUGGCGGUCUUUGGCCGUCCGAGUUGUAGUCUGGAGAAGUGCUUUCCGCGCUGGACCGUGUACAAGUCUCUUGGAACAGAGCGUCAUAGAGGGUGAGAAUCCCGUCUUUGACACGGACUACCAGUGCUUUGUGAUGCGCUCUCAAAGAGUCGAGUUGUUUGGGAAUGCAGCUCAAAAUGGGUGGUAAAUUCCAUCUAAAGCUAAAUAUUGGCGAGAGACCGAUAGCGAACAAGUACCGUGAGGGAAAGAUGAAAAGCACUUUGGAAAGAGAGUUAAACAGUACGUGAAAUUGCUGAAAGGGAAACGCUUGAAGUCAGUCGCGUUGAUCAGGACUCAGCCUUGCUUUUGCUUGGUGCAUUUUCUGGUUGACGGGCCAGCAUCGAUUUUGAUCGCCGGAAAAAGGCUGGGGGAAUGUGGCACCUUCGGGUGUGUUAUAGCCUUCAGUCACAUACGGCGGUUGGGAUCGAGGACCGCAGCACGCCUUUAUGGCCGGGGUUUGCCCACGUUCGUGCUUAGGAUGCUGGCGUAAUGGCUUUAAACGACCCGUCUUGAAACACGGACCAAGGAGUCUAACAUGCCUGCGAGUGUUUGGGUGGUAAACCCGAGCGCGUAAUGAAAGUGAAAGUUGAGAUCCUUGUCAUGGGGAGCAUCGACGCCCGGACCUGAACUUCGGUGAUGGCUCUGCGGUAGAGCAUGUAUGUUGGGACCCGAAAGAUGGUGAACUAUGCCUGAAUAGGGUGAAGCCAGAGGAAANCUNUGGUGGAGGCUCGUAGCGAUUCUGACGUGCAAAUNGAUCGUCAAAUUUGGGUAUAGGGGCGAAAGACUAAUCGAC
Molecule: ribosomal RNA, 916 nt
Filed under: Rhodofomes cajanderi
Lineage: Eukaryota; Fungi; Basidiomycota; Agaricomycetes; Polyporales; Fomitopsidaceae
Description: partial large subunit ribosomal RNA
Rfam family: Eukaryotic large subunit ribosomal RNA
Source: RNAcentral